This is a regulatory RNA element of Planktotalea frisia, 96 nucleotides long. It matches the Rfam family "Pyrrolysine insertion sequence mttB". Lineage: Bacteria; Pseudomonadati; Pseudomonadota; Alphaproteobacteria; Rhodobacterales; Paracoccaceae. The record is from Rfam.
GCGACAGACAGCAAGCUGCCGGACGCGCAAUCGGGGUUUGAAAAGGCCUUGUCGGUAACACUUGCCGCCCAAGCCGGGGCCAACCUGAUCACUCAG